UGCAGCGAGCCAACGCCGAGCUCCGCCUCCACGCGCAGUCAACGAGACCAGCAGCAGCGAAUACCUCCUCUUUGGGAGUCCGGCGGCCGGAUCCGCCCUAAACCUCGGCGGAUCUACGCCUUCCUUGGCCGGAUCUGCUUCAGCGCACUCCCCUUUCCUGCAGCCGCUGCCGUCACGCACGCCGGCUUAUGGCUGCGGCCGCGGUCGCUGUCAAGCGCGCCGGCUGCGUCCUCCGGCCACUGCCGUGCUCCGCGGCCGGAGCCUCCCAAGAGCGGCCCCGUGGCUGCUGCCUCACAAGAUCCGCUCCAUCCCUCGCGGAUCCGCCCGCUAUCGCGCGCGCUGGUCUGAUUCCUGGCUUCCUCAGCGCCUUGUUCGACGUUGUGGUCUUCUUCCUCAGCGGCCUGUCUGCCGUCCGCCAUUGCUGUCCGCCCAGAACUCCUGAAUCUCAGGUGCGCCCCUCCGUUUUUUACUGGUCAUCUCUUCCUGGUCGCCCCCUUUCAUUUUGUUCCAAGAAGCAGCCUAGAGACAGUAAACGAGGAGUCCACUUUACUGCAGCAGACAAGAACAAAGGUUGAAACUAAUGGUCAGGUUGUACCUGGGCCUGAAUAUGAAAGUCCUAACCUGAAUGGCUCCAUUGGAACCUCCUCUCCUCAGGAGCACCUGACAGACCACCAAAGCAGAUUUGGGAGGUAGUACUCCCAUGCAGUUCAAGACAUUUACAGGUACUAUGAGCUACUUUCUUCAAACUUUAUUAAUCAUAUGAGUUCUUGGGCCAGAUGUAGUUGAUCCAGGCAUGCAGCUGUUAUUCAUUUUAUACUUGAAAAAUAAAAUGAACUACCAAAGGUUAUAAGACACAGAUACUCUUUCCCAUAUAUGCGCAUGAUUAUUAUUCAGUUUAGGAAAUGCUCUGGGUAAUACGACACAGAUAUUCUUUCCCAUAUAUGUGCAUGAUUACUAUUAAGUUUAGGAAGCGCUCUGUUGGUCCAGAAUUUCUGUUGAUAUGAACAAAUAUUCCUUUUCAUAUAUGUGAAUGACUAUUACCUAUUGCACAAACACAAGUAUUGGUUGUAUUAAUGGUUCCCAGCAUGUUUAAACAUUUAUAGUGCUAAGACACUACAUUAGGCCUCCAAGUAUAUUUGCUGCUCAUGCUUGCUUCACCCUUCAUUUAGUGAAACAUUGUCAGGCCCAAUUUGUUAUAGUAUAGAAAAUGUAUCUGUAGAUGCACAACUAAAACUAUAUUUUGAGGGACUGAUCAUGCGUUUUUUUACUCUGCUGAAAUAUUGGAAUGAGAUGUCCAGCAACAAAAAAAAAAUGCCCAUUGAGAUAGCUAAAAUAGCAUAAGCAAUUUUACUUCUCUUUACCAAUCUUUUCUUGCUAUGGUCAUGUAGUGAAUUGAUGUAAACACGUGCAUAUUACGUUUAUCCUCAGGGAAAUAUUUGAUAUAAACAAAAAAAAAAUUAUUUCCUUCAAGGACUGGUUCCUUUUCAGUGAUCAACACAAAAAUUGCAGGUAAGGAAUUGCUGGAUUCGAGCGCCAAGGUAAAUCCCCUCCGCUCCAUUCCUUCCUGGCAUUUCCUAGAAUCAAAGCAAGGAAAAAAAAAAGACUGCCAUUCUACUGUAUUUGAAAGACUUGAUGGUGUCCUGCCCCUCCUGCGCCUACAACACUAGACCUGUACCUGGCGGCCUCCAAUUUUGACUGCCCUGCCUUCUUUUCCCAUCUGGUCCGGUGUAGGCAAGGAAGGGGGCGUCUCUUGCAUCAUGGAGUAUCUGGUCCACAUUCUGUUCCUUCCCCAGCUCCUCCACAUGAUUCAGAUGUUCUCAUCAUGUGCUGCUUCUGCCCUCCCUCCAUUGCAAGGGAAAAAAUAUGCCGCUGCUUUGGCCCCGUUCCUCAUAAGUCAAAAAGGUCAAGCGCUACACAAGGGUGCAUAAAUAAGCACUGAUUAUCUCUAACAAGCAGGACAUCUCCACUCCUUCUGUGAAUUAUGAAGCCCCUUGCAGAAGUCUUUUGUUCCGUUGUAAUAACUAUAUCCAUAUUUUAGAUUUUUAUCCUAGACUAUGAAGUUGAUAGCUACUAUCUCAAUAAAUCUAAAACUCCUUGUAAAUAACUCUUAUAUUUCGUUGUGACAUAACCAGAAAAUUCUUAUUUGUCCUCUAUGGCAAUAUGAGUCUACUAAAUGUACAAAUUUUAUUAUUCAGAUCGAUAAAGUUGACAUGAGCGUGCGCAAAUUUA
This is an RNA transcript of Panicum virgatum (switchgrass), 2229 nucleotides long. RefSeq lists it as uncharacterized. The record is from RefSeq and is a predicted model, not a curated record. The transcript has 6 exons. Lineage: Eukaryota; Viridiplantae; Streptophyta; Magnoliopsida; Poales; Poaceae.